RNAcentral lists this unclassified non-coding RNA (144 nucleotides) under uncultured fungus. RNAcentral's name for it is "sequence contains ITS1". The record is from RNAcentral. Lineage: Eukaryota; Fungi.
GGUGUUCCUGAUCGCCAGAAAACCGCUUCAGGCGGAACGAGCCUGACUCGGCGCGUGCUGCCUUGUCUGGCGACCCACGGCGCUCGGAAGGAAUUGCCUCCGAGCCGAGCGUCGUAGAGAAUUUGACUAACCCCGGGUUCGCUG